UACAGAGGGGGCAAGCGUUGUUCGGAAUUACUGGGCGUAAAGGGCGCGUAGGUGGCCUUCUAAGUUGAACGUGAAAUCCCUGGGCUCAACCCAGGAACUGCGUCCAAGACUGGGAGGCUUGAAUCCGGGAGAGGGAUGCGGAAUUCCAGGUGUAGCGGUGAAAUGCGUAGAUAUCUGGAGGAACACCGGUGGCGAAGGCGGCAUCCUGGACCGAGAUUGACGCUGAGGCGCGAAAGCCAGGGGAGCAAACGGG
RNAcentral lists this ribosomal RNA (253 nucleotides) under uncultured bacterium. RNAcentral's name for it is "partial 16S ribosomal RNA". It matches the Rfam family "Bacterial small subunit ribosomal RNA", at positions 524 to 776 of the family's 1533-position model. The record is from RNAcentral.